UGACCGUGGCCAAGUAGCAUAAUCCAUUGUCUUUUUAUUAAAGGCUAGAAUGAAUGGUUGAAUGAGAUAUUUCCUAUUUUUAUUUUAAUAAAAAUGAAUUUUAAUUUUUAGUAAAAAUGCUAAAAUAAAAAAAUUAGACGAGAAGACCCUAUAAAUCUUUAUUUUUAAAUAAUAAUAUUAAUUAAGAAAAUUUUCAAUAAAUUAUUUUUUAAAAAUUUUAUUGGGAAGAUAAUGAAAUUUUAAAAACUUUUAUUUUGAUUUAUAAAUAUAAUUAAUUUAUUGAAUAUAUUUUAAAAUAUUUAAAAAAUUAAGUUACUUUAGGGAUAACAGCGUAAUUAUUUUAGAGAGCUCUUAUCGAUAAAAUUGUUUGCGACCUCGAUGUUGAAUUAUAGACACUUAACUCUUUAA
Molecule: ribosomal RNA, 408 nt
Filed under: Culicoides bolitinos
Lineage: Eukaryota; Metazoa; Arthropoda; Insecta; Diptera; Ceratopogonidae
Description: partial 16S ribosomal RNA
Source: RNAcentral